Neodiprion fabricii is the source of this 1176-nucleotide long non-coding RNA. RefSeq lists it as uncharacterized. Lineage: Eukaryota; Metazoa; Arthropoda; Insecta; Hymenoptera; Diprionidae. The transcript is spliced from 4 exons. The record is from RefSeq and is a predicted model, not a curated record.
CGUUACUGAAAUUCCUCAGAGGGCGGCCAUUUUGUCUGCAGCUGCGACGGGUUAGAUAGUUCGAUUCAUCGGACGAUAGGGGAAUUCCUUGCGUCGACCAUCCGCUGCGAGGGUAAUAAUGGUUCUCGCAAAGUAAUGACAAGUCAUCCAACGGCAAUGGAAAAUUUGAACAACGCGACUAGAUGCUAUAACCGUGCGGAGCCAAAGAUCGAAAGUCGGGACGACGCGACAGUUCAAAGACCCUGGUUAAUUCGAGGAAACUUUUCAAAUACCUCAGUAUAAUGUACUAUUGUGUACAUAACUGACAGGAAAACAAUGGAGAGGAGUGAAAAAUGAAUAAGAGGAAAAGAAAAAAAAAAAAUAUUCGCAAAAGCCAUUGCUAUAAUUCCGCGAACGGAAGAAGCGGUGGCUAUAUACACAUUUAUAUAACCUAAUUUGCUGAAAUCAAUUAUUAAAUUAUGAGAACAUCUCCCUGACACGUGUAAAUGUUGUUUAUGCGUGAAAUACAAUGCGCGUACAUUAUAAACUAUAUACCUAUAUAUGAAAAUAAGGAAACGGAGAUGACGCAACGUAUAAAAAAGUUUAAUUAACGUUGUGAAAAAAAAAAAGAAAAGUGAAUGUUCAGAUACUGGGUACAGUCGACAAUUGCAUCGAGCGAAAGAUUUUCCAAACCGAAGUUAUUACAAGGUUAUUAUUAACGCAUUGUACUAUAAAGGUAUACUAUGAGCACGGACGUGACAAUUACACGUAUACACUCAGGAAAUAAAGUAACAUAUAUAUAUAUAUAUAUACCAUAAAAUCGAGACUCUAGACACGCGACGCUUACAGGCCGACGAACGGAGGCGAGGCAAGGGUUGGAUGGUCAAUAAACGUUGCCGCCCACGAGGUAGAAGCUCUAGCAGCAGGUGAGAACUGAUUGGAAAAAAGACCUACUCAUCGUGGUUUUCUAUAUACGUAUGCGUACACGUGGCUGGAUAUACAGCGAAGCUUCGAGCACUCGCUGAAACAAGCACGACAAGACACGAAGAGUGAUAAAUACAUUGGAUGCCUGUGUGUACAGUGACGCUGGUCCCGCGAAAUGAUGCAUAAAUUCAUAAGAUUGAAGUUAGUACGUAACGUUAGACCAACGGAUAAUCGCAACAAACAUCAUUAUUUUGCAACUAGAGAAUAAUUUGG